RNAcentral lists this Y RNA (102 nucleotides) under Jaculus jaculus (lesser Egyptian jerboa). RNAcentral describes it as "Y RNA (ENSJJAG00000007380.1)". It matches the Rfam family "Y RNA". Rfam says of the family: Y RNAs are components of the Ro ribonucleoprotein particle (Ro RNP), in association with Ro60 and La proteins. The Y RNAs and Ro60 and La proteins are well conserved, but the function of the Ro RNP is not known. The record is from Rfam by way of RNAcentral. Lineage: Eukaryota; Metazoa; Chordata; Mammalia; Rodentia; Dipodidae.
GGCUGGUCCGAGUGCAGUGGUGUUUGCAACUAAUUGAUCACAACCAGUUACAGAUUUCUUUGUUCCUUCUCCACUCCCACUGCUUCACUUGACCAACCUUUU